Molecule: ribosomal RNA, 904 nt
Filed under: uncultured Methylobacter sp.
Lineage: Bacteria; Pseudomonadati; Pseudomonadota; Gammaproteobacteria; Methylococcales; Methylococcaceae
Description: bacterial SSU rRNA
Rfam family: Bacterial small subunit ribosomal RNA
Source: RNAcentral
CAUGCAAGUCGAACGGUAACAGGCCUUCGGGCGCUGACGAGUGGCGGACGGGUGAGUAACGCGUAGGAAUCUGCCUCAUAGUGGGGGACAACGUGGGGAAACUCACGCUAAUACCGCAUACGCCCUACGGGGGAAAGGAGGGGAUCUUCGGACCUUUCGCUAUGAGAUGAGCCUGCGUUAGAUUAGCUAGUUGGUAGGGUAAAGGCCUACCAAGGCGACGAUCUAUAGCUGGUCUGAGAGGACGAUCAGCCACACUGGGACUGAGACACGGCCCAGACUCCUACGGGAGGCAGCAGUGGGGAAUAUUGGACAAUGGGCGAAAGCCUGAUCCAGCAAUACCGCGUGUGUGAAGAAGGCCUUAGGGUUGUAAAGCACUUUCAAUUGAGAGGAAAACCUGCCGGCCAAUACCCGGUAGCUUGACAUUACCUUUAGAAGAAGCACCGGCUAACUCCGUGCCAGCAGCCGCGGUAAUACGGAGGGUGCGAGCGUUAAUCGGAAUUACUGGGCGUAAAGCGUGCGUAGGCGGUUCGUUAAGUCAGAUGUGAAAGCCCUGGGCUCAACCUGGGAACUGCAUUUGAAACUGGCGGACUAGAGUUUAGUAGAGGGGAGUGGAAUUUCAGGUGUAGCGGUGAAAUGCGUAGAUAUCUGAAGGAACACCAGUGGCGAAGGCGACUCCCUGGACUAGAACUGACGCUGAGGUACGAAAGCGCGGGUAGCAAACAGGAUUAGAUACCCUGGUAGUCCACGCCGUAAACGAUGUCGACUAGCCGUUGGCCCUAUUUACAGGGUUAGUGGCGCAGCUAACGCAUUAAGUCGACCGCCUGGGGAGUACGGCCGCAAGGUUAAAACUCAAAUGAAUUGACGGGGGCCCGCACAAGCGGUGGAGCAUGUGGUUUAAUUCGAU